AAUUCAUAUAAAACUGAAUAAUCAACAGUGUUAUAGAGGGGCCUACUGUAUAUUGUGAAAUUUCCAAAGACAAAGCAAAUUAGUAUGAAUGCUCAUGUUGCUACACCUGUAUCUAUGAGCAGUUAUAAGAUACAAAGAAAUAAAAUGCACCUUAGACGACUGAUAUCUAAUGUACAAAAAUGUUCAUAGAUGAAAUGGUGCUUAUCGAACAUGCCAACUCUGCUAGUUACUGUAUCGAGGUUAAAAAUUCAUAAAUUUUUAAUAAAUUAAGACUUUUUGGAAAUUACAAUAGAUGAGAAAAGCUGUAUUGAAAGAUGAUGGCAUCAAACUAUGAGAUUAUCAACAAGAAAUCGCAGUAAUGCUGCUUGCGAUCUUUGAAGUCUGUGGCAGCGUGAUAUUGAUUUUCACGUAAAACAGGUUUGUGUUAGGAUUACAAUUGGAUUGAAUUUGAUUUUAUUGUUUAAUUAAUUUGUAAAAACAUCAAUACAAAUCAAAUGAUUAUAUAAAAUUGUAAUGGUAUUGCUAUGGCUCUUGUACAGUACAUAAUUUCAUUAUGUAAUAAUUUGCCUAAAUAAAUGAAAUUGAGCAGGAAUACACCAUUUAUAAUUUGUAGUGAACUUUUUUAUGAUGAUGAUACAAUAUAAAUCUAGUGAGAUUGUUGAUGGGUUUUCGAAGCAGAGCUUAAAAUGCAGAGUUGCUAUGUUGCCCAUUAUAUAUCAAGUUCUGUAUAAAUUUAGUAAUAUCAAAAUGUAUUAUUAAUGCUUAAAUAAGGAAGUAAUUUACUUUUGUGUUCUAGAUGAAUUGUAAAUCAUUUAACUCCUAAACUAGCAUUUUAAACAUUGUUUUGCUGAUUAUUGUUUUAAUUUAUCAGCAAUUUUAUUUUUAAGCUUUUGGGUGUUGUAGUUAAGUUUAAGUGAUAGGAUAUAUUAUUCAUUAUUUUGUUCUUACACAUAACUUUCCUGUUGACAGCAUGUUAGGCAAUUUUUGAGAUAAAAGUUUAUUUUUUAAGAGAUCGGCUUUUAAAAUGGUAGUUAAUUUCUUUCAAAAAAUGGCUGACAAAUUUACACAUAAAAAUUUGUAGAAAAGAUUAAAAUGCCGUGAUUUUCUCCAUGUCGAAUCACCAGUAACAACAGUCUUCCAUUGCAGAGAUGACCUUUUAUUAGAGGCUAUGCCUCUGCAAAAUAUGCAAAAAUAGUUUAAAAAGUUUGCAGAUGACAAGCCAAACAAUUAAGAAAUAUAAUUUCUUUCAAAGGAAAACUGUUGUUCUGGUGAUUUGACAUGAAAAUCAGGACAAUUUAGUCUUUUCUAAGUAUUUUUAAUGAUGAUUGAUAUUUUGAAUGAAUGUGAUCAGAUGAUAAAUUACAAAUAUAUGAUUGUAACUAGGCAAGACUUCUAAGUGCAUUCUUGUUAAUCUGAACUAAUUAUUGCAUAGAAUUUGGUACAGAUAAGCAGAGUUAAAUAUAAAGAAAAUUAAGUCUACAUCUAUAUAUAUAAGCCAUUGUCACAUCUGUAACGGCAUCCAUUGCCUAAAACGCCCACUAAGGGCAUCCUAGCAAUGAUUUUAAAUUAACAAUAAAUUAAUUUUAUUUGUAAUAGGAAUUUAUUAUUGAUAUGAAUUUAUGUGAACCCGAGGGGAGGUUGUAGGUCUCCUGCUUCUGUCACUAGUCAGGAUGAUACAUCAGGCGAGUGGAGGGAGAGAAUUUGGGGUCGACGAUAAGGUGAAGGGCGUAUCGAGUAAAGGAGGCGACCAUUUAACAAAUAUAACAAUUAUUUAUUAAAAGAAGCAAAAUGACAAAAGGCUACAGAAACUUGUAGGUACACGAGUAAAACACAGAUUCGGGCCAAGCGAACAAGAGAGAUUGGCCGAUCUACGAUCGUGCGAUAAAGACGCCGAUCUGAAGGAGCAAGUUAUCGUGGUGGCAAUUAGUUAAAAGAGGCCAUAAAGUUUAUCGACGUAGAAAAUCAGAAACGUGCUGUCAUAAGCCACCCUAAAGAGUUUCCUCGUUCUUUCAUACCUCUUUAUACAGUUUUCGACUAUUUUGAACAUGGAAGCACUUAAAUAUCGGUCCAAGGAAUAAGGUAGUUAUAAUCCAAUUGCGACACACAUUACAAAUACUUGCGACUUUGGCGAAGAUUUAAUUUUGAGGUUUAUCGGAAUUUGGAUAAUCGGCGCAAUGUCGUCGGUCCGGUGUUCGUUCAGCAACUCCCCGAUGGGGGGUAAGAAUGACCUUUUAUAGGUUUUUGUGAGGAAUUUCCACCACGUGAUCAGAUGUUCAUGAGUUAAAGGUUAUAGGUGUCCCAGGGACCUAAAACUAGUGAUGAAAGUUGGAUGCUAACUAUAAACUUUUCUGCAAGAUGAUCUGUAAGUUCUGCAGAGAACAAUAGAUGUUGAUAGUUAUGACCGGAGAGUUUACACAUUCCUGGCUAAGAUUGGUUUUUUCUUCUAGGACGUUACAUAAAUGAAAGUUUAAUUAAUUAACACUUUUGUUAAUAAAGAGCGAAAUUUUUGUUAAUAAAAGAACGUAAUUUACGUCACAAAAAUUCUGGAUCUCACAAUUGUUUAUACCACAGAAUGGUAUAAAUAAUUAUUAUAUGCCUUGAUUCUUGUGCCGCACGUUUACAACAUCCCAUGACUCAGUGAAUGUUGCGCAUUGACUCAAGGGAAAUUUGUUGAAAAAAAUGGCGGAUACAUUUAAAAUCGAGAUUUACAAGUGAAGGUAAAUAAACAAAUUAAACUAUUUUAAAGUAUUUAUAGAAUGUUUAAUAGGUAGAAAUCUAGAUUUUUAUGACGUGAUUGGGAAUUUAACAGCUGUAGAGCUUAUUGAUAAAUAAAAUAA
Centruroides sculpturatus (bark scorpion) is the source of this 2837-nucleotide long non-coding RNA. RefSeq lists it as uncharacterized. The transcript has 3 exons. NCBI's taxonomy places the organism in Eukaryota, Metazoa, Arthropoda, Arachnida, Scorpiones, Buthidae. The record is from RefSeq and is a predicted model, not a curated record.